AUAUAAUCAACCUUCUCUUGUUUUGAGAAUGGUUUGGACGUGGGGGGUUUGCUGGCCUCUUAAGAGGUUUCGGCUCUCCUGAAAUGCAUUAGCAGAACAACCCUGUUCAUUGGUGUGAUAACUAUCUACGCUAUUGAAUGUGAAGGGCAGUUUGGCUUUCUAACAGUCUUUGGACAAUUCAUCAUUA
RNAcentral lists this unclassified non-coding RNA (187 nucleotides) under uncultured Cortinarius. RNAcentral's name for it is "sequence contains ITS2". Lineage: Eukaryota; Fungi; Basidiomycota; Agaricomycetes; Agaricales; Cortinariaceae. The record is from RNAcentral.